This 253-nucleotide ribosomal RNA is filed under the name uncultured bacterium. Its description in RNAcentral is "partial 16S ribosomal RNA". It matches the Rfam family "Bacterial small subunit ribosomal RNA", at positions 524 to 776 of the family's 1533-position model. The record is from RNAcentral.
UACGGAGGAUGCGAGCGUUAUCCGGAUUCAUUGGGUUUAAAGGGUGCGCAGGCGGAAUAAUAAGUCAGUGGUGAAAUCUCCCGGCUCAACCGGGAAACUGCCAUUGAUACUGCUAUUCUUGAGUACAGUUGAAGUGGGCGGAAUGUGUCAUGUAGCGGUGAAAUGCUUAGAUAUGACACAGAACACCGAUAGCGAAGGCAGCUCACUAAGCUGUAACUGACGCUCAUGCACGAAAGCGUGGGGAUCAAACAGG